RNAcentral lists this ribosomal RNA (253 nucleotides) under uncultured bacterium. RNAcentral describes it as "partial 16S ribosomal RNA". It matches the Rfam family "Bacterial small subunit ribosomal RNA", at positions 524 to 776 of the family's 1533-position model. The record is from RNAcentral.
UACAGAGGUCUCAAGCGUUGUUCGGAUUCCUUGGGCGUAAAGGGUGCGUAGGCGGCGCGGUAAGUCGGGUGUGAAAUCUUGGAGCCUAACUCCGAAACUGCAUUCGAUACUGCCGUGCUUGAGGACUGGAGAGGAGACUGGAAUUUACGGUGUAGCGGUGAAAUGCGUAGAUAUCGUAAGGAAGACCAGUGGCGAAGGCGGGUCUCUGGACAGUUCCUGACGCUGAGGCACGAAGGCCAGGGGAGCAAACGGG